UCACCUCGUCUGGUUGGGUUAAUCCGGUCCCUUAACUCCUUUUGAGUCUUUUUUUUGUUUUUGGGUUUUGGUUUUGUUGGGUAUUUUUCUUGUGUUCGUUUUUGUGGUGGUGGUGGUUUUUUUGUUUGUGUUGGUUUUUUUGGUUGUCUUUGUUUUUGUGUGGUUGCAAAUUUUCGUUUUUUUGAAGGUUGUUGUUCUUGUGGCUCCUCUUCUUGGUUUGAUUCAUCACUUGGUAUAACAUUCCAUGCCGGUGUUUCUUCUAUAUAAUCUUCUUCUGAAUCUUCUCCAUAAUCCUAUAUUCUCAAAAUAAAACAUAUAAUAAGUCAUAUUAUGUUUAAAUGCUGAAAAAUAAACAUAAAAAAAUCAGAUUUGACAUCCUUCCUUGCGGGGCUUGUAACUCAUUCAAUUUUUAACCAAAUUAAGUGUGUUUAUAGUCUAAAUUCAACUACAAAUCCUAAUCUACAUGUAUGAAAAAGAUUCAGGUCAAAAAAAGUUAAAUUGAAUGAGUUAUGCACAUUUGAACAACAAAAUUAGAUCAUGUUUUAUUGCUGUUAGAAAAAAAAAUAUCAGAUUUGACACCCUUCCUUGCGGGGCUUGUAACUCAUUCAAUUUUUAACCAAAUUAAGUGUGUUUAUAGUCUAAAUUCAACUACAAAUCCUAAUCUACAUGUAUGAAAAAGAUUCAGGUCAAAAAAAGUUAAAUUGAAUGAGUUAUGCACAUUUGAACAACAAAAUUAGAUCAUGUUUUAUUGCUGUUAGAAAAAAAAAUAUCAGAUUUGACACCCUUCCUUGCGGGGCUUGUAACUCAUUCAAUUUUUAACCAAAUCAAGCGUUUUUAUAGUCUAAACUCAACUACAAAUCCUAAUCUACAUGUAGGAAAAAGAUUCAGAUCAAAACAAGUCAAAUUGAAUGAGUUAUGCACAAUUCAAAAUUUGGACAGAUUGCUAAAGAAGUAAAUAUUGCUAAUGAACUAAAUGCUAAUCUUACUUGGUCAUCAAAGUCUUUUCCAAUCCAAUUAGCCGGAUUACCAUCUUCAAUAUUGGCAUCAUGAACAUCCGAGUUUCGGUAUCUUGAUGAUGGUACAUUUGGUAACCCAUCCAAAUCCU
RNAcentral lists this long non-coding RNA (1105 nucleotides) under Lactuca sativa (garden lettuce). RNAcentral's name for it is "long non-coding RNA (LSAT_LNC008875)". The record is from RNAcentral. Lineage: Eukaryota; Viridiplantae; Streptophyta; Magnoliopsida; Asterales; Asteraceae.